This is a long non-coding RNA of Gambusia affinis (western mosquitofish), 4189 nucleotides long. RefSeq lists it as uncharacterized. The record is from RefSeq and is a predicted model, not a curated record. The transcript has 4 exons. Lineage: Eukaryota; Metazoa; Chordata; Actinopteri; Cyprinodontiformes; Poeciliidae.
ACAGGCCUAUCUUCUUACCAAGACUGAACAUUUUUUGGAUCCUUUACAGUUUCCCUACACGGCCGGACGGGGAGUUGAGGAUGCCACUGCCACUUUACUAAACUGUGUUUUUAAAAAUCUUGAAGGUAACAGAAACCAUGUUAAGUUGUUAUCUGUAGACUUUUUAUCAGCUUUUAACACAACCCAGCCUCAUAUUUUGAUUGAUAAGCUUCUUAACUUUCAUCUGGAUUUUAAUGUGGUGAAGUGGAUUCUUGAUUUUUUAACAUCCAGAACACAGAAAGUCAGAGUGAGAACACCAGAUCUAGAACCGUCUACUGGGUUCUCCUCUUCUUUACAUUUUGUACAGAUGACUGUCGCAGCCGGCAUGAUAACAGGUUAAUAUUAAAAUCUGCAGAUGACUCAGUGAUAGUUAUGAUGAUGAACAUGAUGCUCACGGCCCUGUGGUCCAUGGAUCUGUUGACUGGUGUGAUAAAGCUUUUCUUUCAUUAAUUGUACUGAAAACAAAGAACGUGUGUUGAUUUUAAACAGAAGCUCCAUAACACAACUCUACAGUAAUUAAAGGUCAGACAGUGGAAAAAUAUAAAUAUCUUGGGACUAUUUUGGAUAAUAAGUUAAAAUUUACCUGCCAUUCAGAAAACCUACAAAAAGGCCCAACAAAGAUUAUUUUAUUUAAGGAGGCUCACAAAGUUUCUAGUUGAUAAGUUAUUGAUGAUCCUAUUUUAUAGAUCAUAUAUUGAAUCUGUGUUGACCAAGAAAAGCCCUUAGCAGGGUAAAACAUACUAUCAAUAAGACCUUAGGGGUUGAUCAACGCUCACUUACAGAACUGUGUAAAAAAACUAAUCAUUAGGAAAACUAAACCCAUUAUUGCUGAUACUUCUCAUCCUUCACAUGCUGAGUUCCAGUUUCUAGCAUCAGGCUCAAACUUCCUGCUAUAAACAGCAACAGGUUCAAACUCUCCUUUGUUCCUACAGCAACAUCUCUUCUUAGUGCAGGACCAAGUAGGAGGACUUACACCAGAUCUAGUAACUGUCAGUCAAUGAAAUACACUGCUUAUUCUUCACAGGGCCACUAAGGGUUUCAUUCCAAUGGUGGCGCUCUCGAGCUGCUGUGGGUUUAACAGAGAGAACAAGUUUUCUGGCUCUGGUUUAUGUGACUCAGAAUAAAGAAGUUCUUGUCGUUUCCUGUCUGAUCCACAGAUAUUGGACUAGAUUUUUCUGCCUGUGCACCACAGAUUCCCCUAGAUCUGGUGUCCGUUAAACUUUCUUGCAUCUCAAGAAAGCAGCAAGCAGUAAAGCGCCAGAGGGAAACCAUAUUAUGACCAGAAGGUGAAAGGAGCAGAACUCCAACCUGGAGGCCAUGUUCUAGUGAAGAACCUUGGAGAACCUGGAAGACUGAGGUCAUAUUGGGAGAAGAUUGUUUCUGUUAUUCAAGAACAAAUAUCUGAGAAUCCAGUUUACAUGGUUGAUCUGAGGGUGGAGAUGAAAACAGAACAAGAACCCUCCAUCAGAACCUGUUACUUUCUAACUGACCUACCUGUAGAAACACCUGUAGAUGACCUAAAGUCAAUGGUCAGGAGGAAAUCUCAGAAAACACAUUCAGAAGCUGGUGACUUAAAGAGAGUGAAUGCAGAAUGUGAUGACAAUUCAAAAGAUGACCAGUUACUGGCUAAGAAUGCAUCUCCUGUUAGGUUGGAGUUCUUUUUUCUGUUUUGCUUUUUUUUUUUUCUUUCCUCUUCUGUUCUGGGUUUUCUGGGAAGCUGCCAUUUCCCUUUACAGCCACCAGAUGUCACCACUGAGCGGAGCCCCUGGAGAAGUGUGGCGGCCAACCUGUAGACGCACCUGUGUCUAAUUUUAGAGAGCUGCGGAGGUGCUUCAUAAGGACCGACUAGCUGACACUCCAGUGCCUGAGUGUUUGCCUCUACUGGUAGACGUUUCCUUAGAGAAUAGCCUUCUAUGAUUGAACUUGUGUUCUGAUCGCUCCUUGUGUUCUUCCGGUCAGGAUUCCUUGUGGUCAUCCUGAGACUCCUCGAGGUGGACGAGCGUCCCCGUCUGGAUUUCCCUUGUGAUUCCCCACGACGCCAUUGGUGUUACCAAUCGGUUGCCUUCCCUCGUGUACUCACCUCCCUGGUCCCUUCCCGUGGAUUCCCUGCGCCUCGCCACAGGCUGGGCCUGCCGGCGCUUCAUGUCCCGGGAGCUAACCAUCGGGAUUCCCCGCUCGGAUGUCAGCUCGCUCCCCUCUCCAGCGACAAGGCUUACCUGCUCGCUCUCCAACGGUAACCCAUUUCUCCAGCCGCCGCCACCGACGAGACCUAACUCCGCCUUCAAUCUGACGACCGGUUUUCCUCCAUUCCCAGGUUUCAGGACUGUUUCUCCCUGACCCCCACUACCUUUCCCCAAAUAAAUAUUAUUGUGUUUUCAUACCGCUUCUCUUAGUGUGUUCUUGCAUGUGGGUAACCCGGCUAGAACCCAACAUGACAUCUCCCAGUCUGAUCAGAGAGGAUUAGUGAAGGAACAGAGGCAUUUCAUGACUGACCAGUAAAUCCAUUCAAUCCAGUUUGUGAUCCUGACAGGAGAGAAAUGGAAUAUGACCGUCUGUCCUUUGCUGAUUCCUCACCUGUAAGAGGAGGACAAAGCCAAGCUGAGAAUGGAUGCUCACCUGAUUCAGAGUCAAACCCUCCAGCAGGAGAACAAUGUUGUACAGAAACAUGGAUGGAGGUGGAAGACCAGCGUCCAGCUGCUCAGCCAGAAGAGAAUCACAUUCUGUGAAGAGACAGAAAACCGGGGCAAAUGUUGGAGUAGGACACACUUCCACAUCCUCCUCUUCCACAUCCCCUGGCUGUGAACACAUGUAAUGUUCCUUGCUCCUGGUUUUGGGGAAUACCACCCACAUCUCAUUGACAUACCCAUAUUAGUAAACCAGUAGUGUAAACAGGGUAUGAACUGAGUCAUGGUUUUGAAACAAAUUUUAGCAGACACCAAGUGGCUUGAAAAGCUUUCAUUGUUAGUGGUUUAAAAUGUCAGGAGGCAUUUUAUUUUGUGGCACAUUUUAUUUUGUGUUGUGGGAUUAUCAUUUUAUUUUUCUAUUGAAUUAAUUUAUGUUUUUAUGCAUGUUUUAAAAAUAAAAUUUGGUAUUGAAAGUUGGCAUCUAUUGCAACUGAUUUUAUUGCAGUAGCAGAAAGCUACCAGUAGGAGGCAGUGUGCGCUCCAGAACAGAUUCAAGAUUUGUGAAGCACAGAUUUGUUUCCUACCUUUUCUAUCCUGUUUACCGGUUAGUAGUUUGUACAAUGUUCUUACUCUCACGACGUAACCAUCUGAAGAACUUAUUUAGUCUGUCACAGCAGCUUUUAUAGAGUCUUUUGGUGUUUUAUUUACCGUUGUCAUAGCAACUGAACCAGCAGGUGCCAGGAGGAAAUAGAGCAACUGAAUUGCGGCUCUUUUUUUCGCUUUGAGUUGCUAUGACAGCUAGAAAAGACAAAGUUUAUUUCAGACGCAAAUAAAACAAUACUAUGCACUUUGUUGUCUUCCUAAUAUAAUGGGCUUUUAAGUUUUCAUGGAUUUCCAGCGAUCCUGAAUUAAGAAGACGGUGACUUGUAAAUAUUCUUCGCUACCAGUUAAAGCUAACGCUGCACAGCAAAGUUUACAGCCUUCACUCUGGAUCAGAUUCUUCAGCCUAAAGAAGAGCUGAGCGAGUUUAUGGGAAGGAGAGAGCAGACCAGAUCCAGACAGCCGAGCAACUGAUCUGCCUGAACACACCGCUGUAAACACCGUCCUGCUUCACAAGAAACAUGCAAAACUAAUAAAAAGAAAUAACACGGAAACCUUAAGGAACACGGCCAUAUUUUUCUAAAAGCAACAACUUUGAACCUGAACAGUCAGCUUAACUAGAACUCUGACAUCAGAGCUGCUCUACUGUUAAGUUACGGGCUUGUUGUGCUUCAUGCUUCAGAAGUAAAAAGCCUGAAGCCUCCUUAUAAAUUACCCUCUGUGUUGCCCGAGAACCCAACCUCCAUAAUCUCAAGCUCUUCUGAAGAUUCUUCUGGACCUUCAUUGAUUAGACUCUCCUCCCCAAUAAGUAACCAAACCCCAGUGACCACCUUUAUACCCCCCUGGCAGAUUAAUUCAUCUUUACCAUGAUUCUCCACCUCACCCCCUCUGGACAAAGACGACCCGUUCUACCAGGAUUUCCCUCC